Molecule: ribosomal RNA, 120 nt
Filed under: Gadus morhua (Atlantic cod)
Lineage: Eukaryota; Metazoa; Chordata; Actinopteri; Gadiformes; Gadidae
Source: RNAcentral
UCUAAUCACUAUACCAGCCGGAACAUGCCCCAAUCUCGUCUGAUAUCGGAAGCUAAUCAGGGUCGGUCCUUUUUAGUACUUGGAUGGGAGACCAUCUGGGAAUACCAGGUGCUGUAAGCA